RNAcentral lists this transfer RNA (73 nucleotides) under Candidatus Woesebacteria bacterium. Its description in RNAcentral is "tRNA-Arg". It matches the Rfam family "tRNA". Rfam says of the family: Transfer RNA (tRNA) molecules are approximately 80 nucleotides in length. Their secondary structure includes four short double-helical elements and three loops (D, anti-codon, and T loops). The record is from RNAcentral. Lineage: Bacteria; Candidatus Woeseibacteriota.
GUUCUCGUAGCUCAAUGGAUAGAGCGUUGGUUUGCGGAACCAAAGGUUGGAGGUCCGAUUCCUCUCGAGAACA